CCCUGCAUCCUGAAUAUGUUCAUGAGUAUGGAAUCAUGUCAAACUCAAACAUAUAUUCAUAUCAAUUCUUAAUUAACCAAUGAUGACUCCAAUGAAGAAGUAUUAAAAAAUUUUUCUAAUCUCUUUUUUGCUUUUGGCCAAAAGAUUUUUCUCAAGUCAUCUAAAAUUGAGAAUACACAGGAUGCAAUCUCCUCUUACUAGGAGCGAUCGAUUCCAUGUUGACCUACUCACAACCUCCAUAUACACUCCACCAUAUCCAGAAUACCCUAUACAUAUCUUAAAGCCA
This 286-nucleotide long non-coding RNA is filed under the name Elaeis guineensis (African oil palm). RNAcentral's name for it is "long non-coding RNA (EGUI_LNC050502)". Lineage: Eukaryota; Viridiplantae; Streptophyta; Magnoliopsida; Arecales; Arecaceae. The record is from RNAcentral.